RNAcentral lists this ribosomal RNA (82 nucleotides) under Salvator merianae (Argentine black and white tegu). The record is from RNAcentral. Lineage: Eukaryota; Metazoa; Chordata; Lepidosauria; Squamata; Teiidae.
AUCAAAAAUUAUGGUUGUUUACAAUGAUACGUGGUUGGUACAUGGAUAGGAGACCACCUGGGAAUACCAGCUGCUGUUGAUA